RNAcentral lists this transfer RNA (85 nucleotides) under Xanthomonas phage XacN1. RNAcentral's name for it is "tRNA-Leu". It matches the Rfam family "tRNA". Rfam says of the family: Transfer RNA (tRNA) molecules are approximately 80 nucleotides in length. Their secondary structure includes four short double-helical elements and three loops (D, anti-codon, and T loops). The record is from RNAcentral. Lineage: Duplodnaviria; Heunggongvirae; Uroviricota; Caudoviricetes.
GGGCGUGUGGCGGAAUUGGCAGACGCACUAGAUUUAGGUUCUAGCGCCGCAAGGCGUGUGGGUUCGACUCCCACCUAGCCCACCA